CAGCGCGCGCUCAAGAGCAGACGUCAAUGAAUUUCAUUGCAUAGAUUUUGUUGUGGAUUGAACAUUCGGUGUUUGAACUUUCGCGAGGAACAACAGUUUCAUUUGGAUUGAACUCAUUGGUUUUGGACAAAUCUUGUGCUGGUGUGUCUUUAAUGGAUUGGAAACGACGGGGAUAAAGGUAGGAAAUCACAAUUGUUUUAUGAAUGUGCUGUGGUUACUGUUGUCACAGUUGGGCAGAUGACACAAGCAAGCCCCCCACCGAGGUCAUGGAAAGCGUGUCAGUUUCAUUGGGAAAGAUGCUUUCUUGUGAUUUGAAGAUAGUGUCUGAACUUUCACCAGGAACUCAAGAUUCAUUUGGAUUGGACAAAUUGUGGACACAUUGUGGACAAAUUUUGUGUGACUGUUUCAUUGUGGACUGAGAAUAGACUGGAAACUAAAGUCGGCAGAAAAGGUA
This is a long non-coding RNA of Haliotis rubra (blacklip abalone), 454 nucleotides long. RefSeq lists it as uncharacterized. Lineage: Eukaryota; Metazoa; Mollusca; Gastropoda; Lepetellida; Haliotidae. The record is from RefSeq and is a predicted model, not a curated record. The transcript is spliced from 2 exons.